This 301-nucleotide ribosomal RNA is filed under the name uncultured bacterium. Its description in RNAcentral is "partial 16S ribosomal RNA". It matches the Rfam family "Bacterial small subunit ribosomal RNA", at positions 509 to 807 of the family's 1533-position model. The record is from RNAcentral.
CAGCCGCCGCGGUAAUACGUAGGGUGCAAGCGUUAAUCGGAAUUACUGGGCGUAAAGCGUGCGCAGGCGGUUAUAUAAGACAGAUGUGAAAUCCCCGGGCUCAACCUGGGAACUGCAUUUGUGACUGUAUAGCUAGAGUACGGCAGAGGGGGAUGGAAUUCCGCGUGUAGCAGUGAAAUGCGUAGAUAUGAGGAGGAACACCGAUGGCGAAGGCAAUCCCCUGGGCCUGUACUGACGCUCAUGCACGAAAGCGUGGGGAGCAAACAGGAUUAGAUACCCCCGUAGUCCCUGUCUCUUAUAC